CCGGAGGAAGUGGGAUGACGUCAAAUCAUCAUGCCCCUUAUGACCUGGGCUACACACGUGCUACAAUGGUUGGUACAACGAGUUGCGAGUCGGUGACGGCGAGCUAAUCUCUUAAAGCCAAUCUCAGUUCGGAUUGUAGGCUGCAACUCGCCUACAUGAAGUCGGAAUCGCUAGUAAUCGCGGAUCAGCACGCCGCGGUGAAUACGUUCCCGGGCCUU
Molecule: ribosomal RNA, 218 nt
Filed under: uncultured Streptococcus sp.
Lineage: Bacteria; Bacillati; Bacillota; Bacilli; Lactobacillales; Streptococcaceae
Description: partial 16S ribosomal RNA
Rfam family: Bacterial small subunit ribosomal RNA
Source: RNAcentral